UAGGGAAUCUUCGGCAAUGGACGAAAGUCUGACCGAGCAACGCCGCGUGAGUGAAGAAGGUUUUCGGAUCGUAAAACUCUGUUGUUAGAGAAGAACAAGGACGUUAGUAACUGAACGUCCCCUGACGGUAUCUAACCAGAAAGCCACGGCUAACUACGUGCCAGCAGCCGCGGUAAUACGUAGGUGGCAAGCGUUGUCCGGAUUUAUUGGGCGUAAAGCGAGCGCAGGCGGUUUCUUAAGUCUGAUGUGAAAGCCCCCGGCUCAACCGGGGAGGGUCAUUGGAAACUGGGGGACUUGGGUGCAGAAGAGGAGAGUGGAAUUCCAUGUGUGGCGGUGAAAUGCGUAGAUAUAUGGAGGAACACCAGUGGCGAAGGCGGCUCUCUGGUCUGUAACUGACGCUGAGGCUCGAAAGCGUGGGGAGCAAACAGG
Molecule: ribosomal RNA, 429 nt
Filed under: Gemmatimonadota bacterium
Lineage: Bacteria; Pseudomonadati; Gemmatimonadota
Description: Gemmatimonadetes bacterium partial 16S ribosomal RNA
Rfam family: Bacterial small subunit ribosomal RNA
Source: RNAcentral